GACUCAGUGGUCCAUUGGUGAAGUGCUUGUCUCGGAGCCAGGGGGUCCUGGGUUCGAUCCCCGACGGGGUCG
Molecule: transfer RNA, 72 nt
Filed under: Schistosoma japonicum
Lineage: Eukaryota; Metazoa; Platyhelminthes; Trematoda; Strigeidida; Schistosomatidae
Description: tRNA-Pro
Source: RNAcentral